AGUGAACGCUGGCGGUAGGCCUAACACAUGCAAGUCGAACGGCAGCACAGUAAGAGCUUGCUCUUACGGGUGGCGAGUGUCGGACGGGUGAGGAAUACAUCGGAAUCUACUUUUUAGUGGGGGAUAACGUAGGGAAACUUACGCUAAUACCGCAUACGACCUACGGGUGAAAGCAUGAGCUCUUCGGACCUUGCGCGAUUGAAUGAGCCGAUGUCGGAUUAGCUAGUUGGCGGGGUAAAGGCCCACCAAGGCGACGCUCCGUAGCUGGUAUGAGAGGAUGAUCAGCCACACUGUAACUGAGACACGGUCCACACUCCUACGGGAGGCAGCAGUGGGGAAUAUUGGACAAUGGGCGCAAGCCUGAUCCAGCCAUACCGCGUGGGUGAAGAAGGCCUUCGGGUUGUAAAGCCCUUAUGUUGGGAAAGAAAAGCAGCAGGGUAAUACCCCGCUGUUCUGACGGUACCCAAAGAAUAAGCACCGGCUAACUUCGUG
This 492-nucleotide ribosomal RNA is filed under the name uncultured bacterium. RNAcentral describes it as "partial 16S ribosomal RNA". It matches the Rfam family "Bacterial small subunit ribosomal RNA", at positions 29 to 507 of the family's 1533-position model. The record is from RNAcentral.